Polyodon spathula (Mississippi paddlefish) is the source of this 4173-nucleotide long non-coding RNA. RefSeq lists it as uncharacterized. The record is from RefSeq and is a predicted model, not a curated record. The transcript has 2 exons. NCBI's taxonomy places the organism in Eukaryota, Metazoa, Chordata, Actinopteri, Acipenseriformes, Polyodontidae.
UUCGAAAAUAAACCCUUAAUACCAAGAUUGGCAUCCUGCACAACACAAAGCAAGCAAGCCACAACUCAGGUAUAUACAGGAUUGCUCUCCAUUCUCAAAAUACUGAAACUCUCAAAAUGUUGUUAUAAAUUAUAUUCAAGGUUUACCUCAGUAAUGCAAGUUUUACGUGUAUAAAGCUAUAUACCAAAAUGUUAACUGUACCUAAUGGAGUUUAAACCUUCAAUACAACACACAGUAAUAGUUUAGUUUUAACUCCAACCGCGCCAAAAUGAAACGCUGUCCACGGCGAUAGUUUACCAAUUAAGUUUGUAAAACUGGUUGUUCCAAAUUCCUUAUCAUUUGUCUUGGAACUGUGUUUUUAUGUCAACAAACGAAAUCAAAUGUCACAUAUCAACCAAUUAUAAAUAGCGUUUUGUUGACAAAAUCUCUACAAAUGAAGCAAAGCAUAAAAAAUAAACAAUGUUUUAAAGUAGGUAGAACACAACAGGUGAAAAAUAUAACCUGCUCCACACUCUGAACUGGGAGAAAGCAACCAGAACGCAGGCUGUUCUUUAUCAAUUAUUUUGCCAAUCCGGUUUUGCAGUGAAUGAUGUUUAAUCUAACUGGUCCUCUGCAUUCUGUAGCAGGUUUGAAUUAACAAAAUAAGCACAUGUAAUUAUUGGAAUGUGUUGCCUUGAUCGAGCAGGUCUGCAAACGGAGUCCAACCGGAAAACACUCGGUUCCGGAUCCGGAUCCAGCCCCAACCCAAAACCCGUCGCCAAAAAAUCUUCAGCAGUUAAUUUGCACGGCCAAGAGAAAGACAUCGUCAAUGAACCGCUUCUCAAGGAAGAAGGUGGCCUUAAUUACGGACUUAGAUAUAAACCCCGCGGAAUAUGAAUUAAUAGCUAAAUAAAUACAUGAUAUGGCACGUUUACACUGGCAGUUCAUUGUAAACCAUCUUUCAGAAUAAAACGCCCAUGCAGGGGUUUAAGCAUUGAUAGGGUCACAUGACCACAGCCUCCCCUUGCGUGAGUAGUGUAAAUUCCUAUCACCUGGUCCAAGGUAAAGCACCUCUCCAGACUUCAGCACCGCAUAAAGCACCUCUCCAGACUUCAGCACCGCAUAAAGCACCUCUCCAGACUUCAGCACCGCGUAAAGCACAUCUCCCAAACAGACUUCACCGCCGUGCUGCGCGUACAUUCCUGUUUGUUCACAGUGUAAUUUGAAUCUCGGGUUUCAUAUGGAAAGUGCAGAGAUGCUACUCAACGUUUUCUGUAGGCUGGUUGCAACUUCAUUUCCAACUCGUUGGACGUUUGAAUGGAACAAUGCAACCAGAGAAACAAGAUCGAGCACUGCCAGUCUCAAUGCCACUUCACCCGGUGAAACGUGAAUUUGGGGUCAUUUGACAAAAACAAUAUAUCGGUAUAUGGAAAGAAAACAGCAACCAAUUUAUUUUAAAUACAUAUCAUAUACUGAAUUAAAUCAACAAACAAGAAAAGGGCAGCAAAAGCACCUUUUGAAGUUGGUUUUAUUUCUAGAGCAAACAAGUUUAUAUUUUUAGCAAAUUCUAUCACAUGUAGAUGCUAACAAAAACCAUGUGGUUCUCUGUACAGUCCUCGCAAUACACAAAAUAAAACAAACAAUAUAAAUACAGACAUGGACUUUACAUGACAAAAGCAAGUGCAGUGAACACUCUGCUAAGAAUCCCAUUUCUAAAGGAUGAUGCAUCUGCAGAAUAUAGGAACAGUUAAACAUUAUGUUUAACAAAGACUUGCUGAUUUCUACAAACAAGUUGGGCUUCUUUCCCUAGUGCAGACAUUUCAUUGUUUCCCACCUGUAAAGGGAAGCAGAUUUUUAUAUGACAAAUGCAAAUUACUUAUACAUGGUCUUAAUAAGAUGUUCGUAGUAAGCAAUGAAAAAAAUGGUAUUGUCAGUUCCAGUCAAGGCAAGCACACGUAGUGUACCUUUGCAAAAAGCCACAUGCCUCUGUAUGCUGCACUACAUGAGAACCAGAGUACUAUUAAACCACUGGAUGUUCACAUUUCUUUUCUAUUCUUUUCAUAGAGCACUCAUGCAGUCAGUGAAACAACGGGCACACAGAUUCUACAUUCAGUGGAGACUAGAUUUCAGACGUAUUUUGAAAUGCAGUAGUCAGUAAAUCUCUGUGCUCUGGGCGACUGGACUGACUGUUCAGUGGUUUUUAAAUCCUCUCAGUUCACAGCACAGGGUGGCACUGAAACAUGCAGGUACUGGAUACUGCUAACGUAAACAAGGGCCGUCUCUCCAGGGCAGGGAGAGACCCUUUUCCUUCCUGACAAGAUUGUAAAGCUGUGGAUUUUUUAUUUUAUUUUAAACAACAUAUACAAUGAUCAAUUGAUCUUUGAUCGUCUGAUAACUGAUUCAAAAGAAACUCCACUCCUGGGAGUAGCACAGAAGGGUUUUACUACAAUGUAAAACAUGACUCGGUCCAAUGAAUCAGGUGUAACUGCACUGGGUAUUUACAAAAACACAAACCAAUAACAGGAAUAAUACACAUUGCUGGGCGCUCAUUCUGUUAAGUCAUUGUAGUGAAACAGUACUUUGACAUGAAGGUAAGGCCUGUCUUUAUUUUCCACCCCAAAAUGUACCAGAACAUUCAGUAAAGCAUUUGCACCGGUAGGUAAUGUGUGUGUGUGUCUUGAUAUAGUACUGAUAGUGCCUGGUAGGUGGCUGAAAUCUGGGUAUAUUUGUAUUCAGUGCAUUGACUUACAGUACAUCUAGCCAGUGUGAAAAUAUAUGGUUACAUUUUGGGAUUUGUAUUACAGCUCAGUUGAACCUCCUUUUACAUUUAACUUGACAUGAACACUAUUAUUAUUUACUGUUAUGGGGAUUAAAAUAAAAAGUUAGUGUUUCUACAACACAAGAGUAGAAUACGUUUGAGAUUGUCCAGAUAUCUGACAGUUAAAACAUCUGUGUAUUCCGUUCUAAUUUGGCUUUCCAUUUUUCUUCUUAAAAUACAGGAUUUCAUUUUCAAAUGUUUCAGGAGUCUUUUCAAUUGGAAAUGUGAUCUCUGAUCACCACGUCAAAGGAAUCUCAAAUAUGAAUCAAAGUAAAACCAAUAUGUCUUCUUACAGCUGACCAAUUGACCAGCACGUCAAAUUUCAAAUACUUGAACCCAUCAAGCUGCUAAGACAUGUUGAACCUACAGUACAAAUAAAAGCAUGCUUCCACUGGCCUUAAAAAGAACAUCUUCUAAAGCUUUUUACUGGGCACACUGUGGACCAAAGCAUUGUUCUUUCUAAACUGCCCUGUGCCCUCCAAAACAUUAACAGCUGUGCAAUACUGGUCCUUCAGUAUAUCAGCACUGUUCUUUCUAAACUGCCCUGUGCCCCCCAAAACAACGUUAACAGCUGUGCAAUACUGAGUCCUUCAGUAUAUCAGCACUGUUCUUUCUAAACUGCCCUGUGCCCUCCAAAACAUUAACAGCUGUGCAAUACUGGGUCCUUCAGUAUAUCAGCACUGUUCUUUCUAAACUGCCCUGUGCCCUCCAAAACAUUAACAGCUGUGCAAUACUGGGUCCUUCAGUAUAUCAGCACUGUUCUUUCUAAACUGCCCUGUGCCCCCCAAAACAACGUUAACAGCUGUGCAAUACUGGUCCUUCAGUAUAUCAGCACUGUUCUUUCUAAACUGCCCUGUGCCCUCCAAAACAUUAACAGCUGUGCAAUACUGGGUCCUUCAGUAUAUCAGCACUGUUCUUUCUAAACUGCCCUGUGCCCUCCAAAACAACGUUAACAGCUGUGCAAUACUGGGUCCUUCAGUAUAUCAGCACUGUUCUUUCUAAACUGCCCUGUGCCCUCCAAAACAUUAACAGCUGUGCAAUACUGGGUCCUUCAGUAUAUCAGCACUGUUCUUUCUAAACUGCCCUGUGCCCCCCAAAACAACGUUAACAGCUGUGCAAUACUGGGUCCUUCAGUAUAUCAGCACUGUUCUUUCUAAACUGCCCUGUGCCCUCCAAAACAACGUUAACAGCUGUGCAAUACUGGGUCCUUCAGUAUAUCAGCACUGUUCUUUCUAAACUGCCCUGUGCCCUCCAAAACAUUAACAGCUGUGCAAUACUGGGUCCUUCAGUAUAUCAGCACUGUUCUUUCUAAACUGCCCUGUGCCCCCCAAAACAACGUUAACAGCUGUGCAAUACUGGUCCUUCAGUAUAUCAGC